UACGUAGGGUGCGAGCGUUGCCCGGAUUUAUUGGGCGUAAAGGGCGCGUAGGCGGUCAGCACAAGUCAGUUGUGAAAUCUCCGGGCUUAACUCGGAAAGGUCAACUGAUACUGUGCGACUAGAGUGCGGAAGGGGCAACUGGAAUUCUCGGUGUAGCGGUGAAAUGCGUAGAUAUCGAGAGGAACACCUGCGGCGAAGGCGGGUUGCUGGGCCGACACUGACGCUGAUGCGCGAAAGCCAGGGGAGCGAACGGG
This 254-nucleotide ribosomal RNA is filed under the name uncultured bacterium. RNAcentral describes it as "partial 16S ribosomal RNA". It matches the Rfam family "Bacterial small subunit ribosomal RNA", at positions 524 to 776 of the family's 1533-position model. The record is from RNAcentral.